This is a long non-coding RNA of Megalobrama amblycephala (Wuchang bream), 1301 nucleotides long. RefSeq lists it as uncharacterized. The record is from RefSeq and is a predicted model, not a curated record. Lineage: Eukaryota; Metazoa; Chordata; Actinopteri; Cypriniformes; Xenocyprididae. The transcript is spliced from 2 exons.
CUUCCGGUCGACUUCCUUGGGCACUGGAAACAAGUCGAGGCUUGGACCCGGAAACGGCGUUCCUUACGUCACGACCAGAGCCGUUGAAAAACAGAGUUGCGACACUCCCAUAGACUUCCAUAGGAACUUUGGAAUGCGGAAGUAACGCGUGUCGUGGAGCCGCCGAUAGUUCCAAACGCUGAUAGUUCCAGCGCUGAACCCCAUUCAUUUUCAGUGAUUCCGAAGUUCGCUCGCUGUUCUGUCCAGCAGCGGGUUUGACUCGACUCCAGACCCGGUCUCCUCUGGGCUCUGACACAGGCCCUGUUUCCACCUGGAGUUUAGAUGCAUUUUGGUUGAUUGGAUCACAAGUGGACGAGGGAGACACAUACACGUUUACACCUGGUGUUUUAAUCCAUCUCUUUUGUCCUCUUUCAACCACUUCUGUCCCGAUUUCUUCAAGGUGGUGGGUAAACGUAUGGGUUUUUACAGAUCUUUCAAUUUAAUAGACAAAAUAAGCUUGAGCAGUUAACAUAUGAACACUCCCAGAGAUGACAGGAAAACAUACAGAGAGCAUCAGUGUUUGUUUCUGCUCUGACAGCCGUGAGAACAGCUGAACGAGUGAGUGUGUGUUAGAAAUCAGUAAUGGUGAGAGAACAUUGUGCUUGGUACGUUUUUCCAUCUUCAAACCAAACUUGGGUCUUCAGCCAACAAAGUUUAAAUCCAAUCUAGCUAGCGUGCUUCCCAUAAUGUUUACCCAUUAGGUCAGUAGGCGGAGAGUAGACGGUCUUUAGUGGCGGUUCGAACACAUUCGACCACAUGAGCGUUUACAAUAUGAAAGCAGUCCGGUUGAAUGCAUUUUCAAAUACCUCUGGAAGUGGUCGAAAGUGGACAAACUCAAACCGUUUUAGACCCCAUUUACACCUGUAUUUAGUGUCGUGCACUUGUGAUCAGAUCAGCCAAAACGCAUCUUAACACCAGGUGGAAACAUGCCCACAGUCUGCUUCUGGCAGUGGAAUGCUCUUACCCAAAAAUUCAAGUAACUAUAGAAUUACCUAUAGUGUGGAGUUUGAAUGCUUUUGUUAUCACUGUAUGUAUAAGCAUUUGACUGCUCCUUGAUUCACCACCAGGUCUCCAGAUCAUCCUACGGCUGCGCUAGAAGAAUGUAAUGGCUAUUGUGAACACUUAUCAUUUUCUGGCCUGCUUUCUGCCAUCUUUCUCUCCCUGUAGGAAGUCGAAUGAGUUUCUUUGAAGACAGAACAUUCAAGGAAAACUUACCUACCCUCUCCCUGGAUAUAAUAUAUAAUUAAAUGUUUUGUUGAAUG